UACCGGCGGCUCGAGUGGUGGCCACUAUUACUGGGCUUAAAGCGUUCGUAGCUGGUUUGUUAAGUCUCUGGGGAAAUCUUCCGGCUUAACCGGAAGGCGUCUCAGGGAUACUGGCAGACUAGGGACCGGAAGAGGUGAGAGGUACUCCAGGGGUAGGAGUGAAAUCCUGUAAUCCUUGGGGGACCACCUGUGGCGAAGGCGUCUCACCAGAACGGCUCCGACAGUGAGGGACGAAAGCUGGGGGAGCAAACCGGAUUAGAUACCCGGGUAGUCCCAGCUGUAAACGAUGCGCGUUAGGUGUAUCGGUGACCACGAGUCACCGAGGUGCCGAAGAGAAAUCGUGAAACGCGCCGCCUGGGAAGUACGGUCGCAAGGCUGAA
Molecule: ribosomal RNA, 380 nt
Filed under: uncultured euryarchaeote
Lineage: Archaea; Methanobacteriati; Methanobacteriota
Also listed under: 1 other name
Description: bacterial SSU rRNA
Rfam family: Archaeal small subunit ribosomal RNA
Source: RNAcentral